CCCGAAAAGUGAUACUAUUAACAAUGCGGCUGGUAUCGAUCCCAGGAUACCUAGACUCUAAACAAAACGAGAGAAACAAUGCGAUAUGAGAAAAGGCAUUCAAUGAAUGAAACUUGCAUUAUGGAUCCACACUCAUGCGCAUGGACUAGAACUACAUAUAUAGAGGGGGAUUUUGGGGCAUAGUGAACAGUUUAAGAAUAUCUUAUUUGAUGUAGGGUCAAUGCUUUAAAUCGUAGCAAAAUAGUUGUUUACAUGAA
This is a long non-coding RNA of Aedes aegypti (yellow fever mosquito), 257 nucleotides long. RefSeq lists it as uncharacterized. NCBI's taxonomy places the organism in Eukaryota, Metazoa, Arthropoda, Insecta, Diptera, Culicidae. The transcript is spliced from 2 exons. The record is from RefSeq and is a predicted model, not a curated record.